RNAcentral lists this ribosomal RNA (218 nucleotides) under uncultured bacterium. RNAcentral's name for it is "partial 16S ribosomal RNA". It matches the Rfam family "Bacterial small subunit ribosomal RNA", at positions 57 to 305 of the family's 1533-position model. The record is from RNAcentral.
GCAAGUCGAACGCCGCGCCAGGGGUGUUGCAGAAGGGUGUGUAACACGUGGGAACAUCGCCUUCGGUUCGGAAUAACGCCGGGAAACUGGCGCUAAUACCGGAUACUGCUUCUGGGCGCGAGAUUGAUAGCCGAAGGAUUGGCCCGCGUUCGAUUAGCUUGUUGGUGAGGUAAAGGCCGACCAAGGCGACGAUCGAUAGCUGGUCUGAGAGGAUGGAC